GUUAAAACUUCAAAAUUUUCAUUUGACAAUUUUUUUUUUUUAUGCAAUUGGCUUCUACUGAGACUAGAACUCAAGUGCAAUUAAAUUAAACCUUCAAUAGCACUAUCAGGCAAACUCUUCUAUCUAUAUUAGUUGCUUCGGAAGAUGAAAAACAAAAUAGGAAAGAUGAUGAGCUACCUUAUUUCCAGUGUAUCAGAUCUUUAUCUAUGGGUGAAAUGAAAUGGAUAUAGUCAUGCGGCAUUUGG
Molecule: unclassified non-coding RNA, 245 nt
Filed under: Hevea brasiliensis (rubber tree)
Lineage: Eukaryota; Viridiplantae; Streptophyta; Magnoliopsida; Malpighiales; Euphorbiaceae
Source: RNAcentral